This 448-nucleotide ribosomal RNA is filed under the name uncultured bacterium. Its description in RNAcentral is "bacterial SSU rRNA". It matches the Rfam family "Bacterial small subunit ribosomal RNA", at positions 328 to 793 of the family's 1533-position model. The record is from RNAcentral.
GGGCCAGACUCCUACGGGAGGCAGCAGUGGGGAAUAUUGCACGAUGGGGGAAACCCUGAUGCAGCAACGCCGCGUGAGUGAAGAAGUAUUUCGGUAUGUAAAGCUCUAUCAGCAGGGAAGAAGAUGACGGUACCUGAUUAAGAAGCCCCGGCUAACUACGUGCCAGCAGCCGCGGUAAUACGUAGGGGGCAAGCGUUAUCCGGAUUUACUGGGUGUAAAGGGAGCGUAGACGGCAGUGCAAGUCUGAAGUGAAAGCCCCGGGCUUAACCCGGGAAUUGCUUUGGAAACUGUACGGCUGGAGUGCUGGAGAGGUAAGCGGAAUUCCUAGUGUAGCGGUGAAAUGCGUAGAUAUUAGGAGGAGCACCAGUGGCGAAGGCGGCUUACUGGACAGUAACUGACGUUGAGGCUCGAAAGCGUGGGGAGCAAACAGGAUUAGAUACCCCAGUAC